RNAcentral lists this long non-coding RNA (1353 nucleotides) under Aquilegia coerulea. RNAcentral describes it as "long non-coding RNA (ACOE_LNC001577)". The record is from RNAcentral. Lineage: Eukaryota; Viridiplantae; Streptophyta; Magnoliopsida; Ranunculales; Ranunculaceae.
GUUUCUUCCUCCACUUCUGUCAGUCUGUGUUUGAUUCCCUGUCUGACUGCUGCAACGAUCCCGGACACUUAACAAGACUAUAAGAAUGAAAUAGAAACUCUAUUCUGCUAGUGUUGAAAGUGUAGCAUGCACGCUUAGAUUUUCAGAAAUUUGGUAGGAUGGAUUCGUCUAGUGUGAUUUUUAAUUUCUUUACUUGAAGGCUUAAAUAAACUUAGUCUGUUUUUAGAGUUCUUUCCUUGGAACAGUUGCUGGUGAUUGGAUCAUUAUAUUUUUAAGGCUUUGUUGUUCCGUUGAGUAUGCAAGGAUAAACCAGUUUCAUGCGUGGUUAGAUUUAGUAGUUGGUUUCUUUUAUGCUAGGUAUUCUGAAUCUUAUUGGUGUAGUGAUACAAAAUCAGAUAUAGGAUAUAUAGAACUACUAGCAAGGGUAUUUAACACAAGCACGGAUAAGUUUGUGUUCUACUUAACUGUUUUAGACAUCAUCACGCAGGUUUUGAAAACAAAAAUUGGUGAUCUCAACAGCCCUUGACACCUCAAUAACUCACAAUUUAAAGAACUUCUUGGUUGCUCAAUUUACUGGCAUGCUGGUUUAUAUAAAACCUCAGUUCAGCUUUUUAGCAAGAAUAUAAGGAAGCUCUUUACAUGUUUAUCUACUGAUGACAGCUGUUUAUAGAAGCACCCUGGAAUGGAAAGAUUGACGAGGACAGUAUACAAUCUGACAGUCGGCAUUAAGACAUUAACCUAUCUAUCUAUAAUAAUUGCAACAUAAUGACAUCAAUAUACAAAUACAAGUCUUAGUCCUGCUGUCAUAGGGUCUGAACUAGCACUUUAUUUUUUUGCAGGAGUUGAACGAGGACAGUAUACAAUCUGAACUAAGUACCAGAACUCAUUUGGAUCAACUACGCAAGUUGUUUGGGUGAAGUGUUCUGAAUUUCAGUAGGCGAAGAUCAUUUGGUGAGCAACUCUAAUUCUUUAAUUACUUAAUCAAUCUUCAUAAACUAAUUAGUUCAAUUUCUACUUGCAGAAAUUAGUUGAUAAACUAAUCAAUGCCGUUGAUAUACUGAUAGUUUCACAUGACUUGAAUGAUUGUCUGCUUGUGAAGUUUUAAUACCUUCAUAUUGACGAGCUUCGGGUCGAAUUUAUUGAAUUUGUGCAACAUUGUAUGGGGGAAUAUGCUGAAGAAUGAAUGGAGUGUUAGGCUCUAUAUAUAGUUGUGUCUUUUUUUUUCUGGUUAAAGUGGAUAUAUCAUCGUAUAAUAUUGAUGAUGGAUUAUUUUGUUUAGAUUUUUUUGUUAAUGCUUUGUAAAGAACGUGAAUGACAUUUUGGAGUAUUUUCAAUGAAAUUAUUUUUUUAGCA